AAAGCAGGUCUGCAAUUGCAGCACUUAAUUUCCGUAGAGUGCUGUCAUUAAGCCUGCUGAGAGUAUCUUUCUGCUGCAGAGCUCUGACUCCAGCUCACUAUGGUGGUGAUGAGGAAGCUCUGUAGCUGAACAUUU
This 135-nucleotide small nucleolar RNA is filed under the name Cottoperca gobio. RNAcentral's name for it is "Small nucleolar RNA SNORA69 (ENSCGOG00000016422.1)". It matches the Rfam family "Small nucleolar RNA SNORA69". From Rfam's summary of the family: U69 is a member of the H/ACA class of small nucleolar RNAs (snoRNAs) which act as guides in the the modification of uridines to pseudouridines. The record is from Rfam by way of RNAcentral. Lineage: Eukaryota; Metazoa; Chordata; Actinopteri; Perciformes; Bovichtidae.